AGCGUGGGGAAGAGAAAGGCUCUCUCCCAGGAAGGGCUCCUGGGUCCCGCAUGGUUCCCAGGUCGGACACCAACGUCUGACUGACGGCGGCACCUCCACAUAGUUGGAAGCUGGCGCGGGUCUGUUGGCUCCGGCUGGUGAACUGCAUCGUAAGGAGAAUGAAACAUGGUUUCUCCCUUUGGACGGACGAAACAUAGUUACACUGAUCUCGGCUGGUACUGCUCGGGAGCAAAUUUCUGGGGAGAGUGAUGAAAACCAUCAGAUGGCCUUAAAACUGGGACCAAGGAGAUGAGGGGCUCUGGUUUCCAUGGGUGAGGCCCUGCGGGAAGAAUGGGGGGGGGGGGCCUGCCAUGCCUCACAGCGCAAAGGAGCCCGUGCGUCUCUCAUACCCAAACCUGCGCAUGCCCCGCCCUGGGGGGCCAGCACCAACGCCACCUGCUGCAACCGGACCCUGGGAGGUGUUCUAGGGUCGCAUCAUGGGAAGGGAGAGCCGGGAGGUCAGGGGGCUGAGCCUCUCCACCUACAGAGGACAGAGAUGGGGCUGGGACAGGCUCUCCCGCUUCCCAGGGUGGCAGCCCUUCCUCAACACUGGCUUAACCAGCCAGUAGGAGCUCUGCAUGCUCUGCGGUCAAGGGACAGACUUAGACAGCCUUUACUGGGUCCGGCGGUCAAGUUCUCGAGCCAACGUACCCGAGCCCCAGGUGCCCAGACAUUGGGUCUGACAGCACUCUGGGUGUCCUCAGUGAGGGUGUUUCUGGAUGGGGUUGGCGUUUGAAUGUGCGCACUGAGAAAAGCUGAUUGCCCUCCCCAACCGGGACGUCGGUCUUCGGCUGCCCCCACUGGCUUCCUGGCUCUCCAGCUUGCACGUGGCUGCGUGUGGGACCUGCCAGCCCCUGUAGUCACUUGAGCCCACUCUUCACAUGCACGCGUGUAUGUGUCUACAUCUCCCACAGCCUCCGUUUCUCUGGAGCUCACCCUGGGGUGAGCUGUGCUGCACUCAUGAAUCUGAAGCCUGGGGCUUCCCCGGCCUCUGACCCUGUGUCAGCACAGAUGCGACCGUGACCUCUCUUGGCCACCGAGGGCCUGAUCGGGGUGAUCCCCUGGGAUCGCUGGACUGCAUCUGGGGUCAUGGAACAGGUCUGCAGAGCGUGUGGGCUUCGCCACGAGCGCCGUCUGUCUACACAGGACUCCAAGCGUCAGGGAGCACAGCCUGGGUCGGCACGCACGGUGAGUCUGGCGUGGGGGCGGUCACCGCUGUCCCUGGGGCAGCUGGGAGACCUCGUCAGGGGCGCAGGUCUGCGGUCAGGCUGUGUGGGGGUGAAAGUCUCCCGAGAACCCCGGGGGGCCCCACAAGCUCCUUCCUGCCCAGCCACAUGUGUGUGAACAGCACGAGUUUCUUCAUCUUCUUCAACCAAAACAUGUCCUAGCAGAAGAGUGGCCGAAGCGGACAGGAAAGCCCAGCAUCUUCAGCUCAGCCAGUCAGCGAAGGGAUUUACAGAAACAUAAAGACGGCUGUUUGCCCUGAAAUAUAGCGUUUCUCAUCGGUAACUGCUGACACCGCAGAUAUCCACAGGUGUGACUGGCAGGAAGAGCGGCUCCGUGCGUCCUCCCAACCCCUGACAACCCCUGAGGGUGUGGCGGGGUCCAGGCGAGCUCCGGAUCGCAGCUCUGUCCCCGCCCCCACGACAAACCAGCACCUUCCGUUCCUCCGCACCUGCCUGCGGGCCCCUCCGGUGAGGGUGAGAACUGCAAACACACCUGGCUUUCCGCUUCCCAGGCUCUGUUCUAAGCCGUUUGCAAAUAUUAAGUCAGUUGACCUCCA
Molecule: long non-coding RNA, 1822 nt
Organism: Mustela lutreola (European mink)
Lineage: Eukaryota; Metazoa; Chordata; Mammalia; Carnivora; Mustelidae
Exons: 2
Source: RefSeq, a predicted model, not a curated record